Molecule: ribosomal RNA, 164 nt
Filed under: Hordeum patagonicum subsp. patagonicum
Lineage: Eukaryota; Viridiplantae; Streptophyta; Magnoliopsida; Poales; Poaceae
Description: 5.8S ribosomal RNA
Rfam family: 5.8S ribosomal RNA
About the family: 5.8S ribosomal RNA (5.8S rRNA) is a component of the large subunit of the eukaryotic ribosome. It is transcribed by RNA polymerase I as part of the 45S precursor that also contains 18S and 28S rRNA.
Source: RNAcentral
CACAUGACUCUCAGCAACGGAUAUCUCGGCUCUCGCAUCGAUGAAGAAUGUAGCAAAAUGCGAUACCUGGUGUGAAUUGCAGAAUCCUGCUAACCAUCGAGUUUUUGAACGCAAGUUGCGCCCGAGGCCCUCUGGCUGAGGGCACGCCUGCCUAGGCGUCAUGC